Molecule: transfer RNA, 611 nt
Filed under: uncultured Prochlorococcus sp.
Lineage: Bacteria; Bacillati; Cyanobacteriota; Cyanophyceae; Synechococcales; Prochlorococcaceae
Description: partial contains 16S ribosomal RNA, 16S-23S ribosomal RNA intergenic spacer, and 23S ribosomal RNA
Rfam family: tRNA (bases 228-300)
Source: RNAcentral
UGGAUCACCUCCUAACAGGGAGACAACAAAAUGUUUAAUAUUAUUAUUUUGUCACCUUAGGUCGAUCGGUAUCUCACGUUCUUAAUUUAUUAAGAAUUUCAUUUCCUAAGUUUUUCUAGGUCACACCCAAUUAUUUUUCCUGGGCCAUUAGCUCAGGUGGUUAGAGCGCACCCCUGAUAAGGGUGAGGUCCCUGGUUCAAGUCCAGGAUGGCCCAUAUCUCUAUGUUGGGGGUAUAGCUCAGUUGGUAGAGCGCCUGCUUUGCAAGCAGGAUGUCAGCGGUUCGAGUCCGCUUACCUCCACUGAUUACCACCUCUUCCAUAAUCGGUAGAAAGGAAAUUUUUUGAGUUGUGAUCAAAUUCUGAACGAAUCUAGCCUCCUAAUGAAAUCAUUAAGAUGCUGGACUCAUUGAAUUAAUUUCAUUGUUUUCAGAGAACCUUGACAACUGCAUAGAUUUUUUUAAAGACAAUAAGCAUCUUUAAUGAUGCAGAUUUAUUAUUUGUGCGAAUGCAUUAAUAACAAUUCUAUUAAGCUGAUGCUUCAAUUUUUGAAGUUAUUGGUCAAGCUACAAAGGGCUCACGGAGGAUACCUAGGCACACAGAGGCGAUGAAGG